CCUACGGGUGGCAGCAGUGAGGAAUAUUGGUCAAUGGACGAAAGUCUGAACCAGCCAUGCCGCGUGAAGGAUGACUGCUCUAUGAGUUGUAAACUGCUUUUAUAUAAGGAUAAAAUGUUAUACGUGUGUGCAUCUGUAUGUACUAUAUGAAUAAGGAUCGGCUAACUCCGUGCCAGCAGCCGCGGUAAUACGGAGGAUCCGAGCGUUAUCCGGAUUUAUUGGGUUUAAAGGGUGCGUAGGUGGAUUGUUAAGUUAGAUGUGAAAGUUUGAGGCUUAACCCUGGAAUUGCAGUUGAUACUGGUAAUCUAGAGAAUAGUUGAGGUGGGCGGAAUGCGUGGUGUAGCGGUGAAAUGCUUAGAUAUCACGAAGAACACCGAUUGCGAAGGCAGCUCAC
Molecule: ribosomal RNA, 394 nt
Filed under: uncultured bacterium
Lineage: Bacteria
Description: partial 16S ribosomal RNA
Rfam family: Bacterial small subunit ribosomal RNA
Source: RNAcentral